UUUGAAAUCUGGCUCCCAGCGGGCCCGAGUUGUAAUUUGCAGAGGAAGCUUUAGGCGCGGCGCCUUCCGAGUUCCCUGGAACGGGACGCCGGAGAGGGUGAGAGCCCCGUACGGUUGGAUGCCUAGCCUAUGUACAGCUCCUUCGACGAGUCGAGUAGUUUGGGAAUGCUGCUCUAAAUGGGAGGUAAAUUUCUUCUAAAGCUAAAUACCGGCCAGAGACCGAUAGCGCACAAGUAGAGUGAUCGAAAGAUGAAAAGCACUUUGAAAAGAGGGUUAAAAAGCACGUGAAAUUGUUGAAAGGGAAGCGUUUACGUCCAGAGCUAGGUUAUACGGCGGAUCCCGCGGCGCUCUUACGCGCUGGCGGUACUGCGCCGGCCUAGGCCAGCAUCGGUCUUCUUAGGGGGAUAAAGGCCUGGGGAACGUAGCUCUCUAGGGAGUGUUAUAGCCCCUCGCGUAAUACCCCUCGGGGGACCGAGGACCGCGCAUUCGCAAGGAUGCUGGCGUAAUGGAGGUCAACGACCCGUCUUGAAACACGGACCAAGGAGUCGAACAUUUGUGCGAGUGUUUGGGUGUCAAACCCUGACGCGUAAUGAAAGUGAACGGAGGUGAGAGCCCCCCCCGGGGGCGCAUCAUCGACCGAUCCUGAUGUCUUCGGAUGGAUUUGAGUAAGAGCAUGGCUGUUCGGACCCGAAAGAUGGUGAACUAUGCGUGGAUAGGGUGAAGCCAGAGGAAACUCUGGUGGAGGCUCGCAGCGGUUCUGACGUGCAAAUCGAUCGUCAA
This 780-nucleotide ribosomal RNA is filed under the name Hypoxylon sp. RNAcentral's name for it is "partial large subunit ribosomal RNA". It matches the Rfam family "Eukaryotic large subunit ribosomal RNA", at positions 114 to 908 of the family's 3401-position model. Lineage: Eukaryota; Fungi; Ascomycota; Sordariomycetes; Xylariales; Hypoxylaceae. The record is from RNAcentral.